This 387-nucleotide ribosomal RNA is filed under the name Salmonella enterica. Its description in RNAcentral is "partial 23S ribosomal RNA". It matches the Rfam family "Bacterial large subunit ribosomal RNA", at positions 711 to 1095 of the family's 2925-position model. RNAcentral also lists the same sequence under 4 other names. The record is from RNAcentral. Lineage: Bacteria; Pseudomonadati; Pseudomonadota; Gammaproteobacteria; Enterobacterales; Enterobacteriaceae.
AGACCCGAAACCCGGUGAUCUAGCCAUGGGCAGGUUGAAGGUUGGGUAACACUAACUGGAGGACCGAACCGACUAAUGUUGAAAAAUUAGCGGAUGACCUGUGGCUGGGGGUGAAAGGCCAAUCAAACCGGGAGAUAGCUGGUUCUCCCCGAAAGCUAUUUAGGUAGCGCCUCGUGAAUUCAUCUCCGGGGGUAGAGCACUGUUUCGGCUAGGGGGCCAUCCCGGCUUACCAACCCGAUGCAAACUGCGAAUACCGGAGAAUGUUAUCACGGGAGACACACGGCGGGUGCUAACGUCCGUCGUGAAGAGGGAAACAACCCAGACCGCCAGCUAAGGUCCCAAAGUCAUGGUUAAGUGGGAAACGAUGUGGGAAGGCCCAGACAGCCA